CCCGCGCCGUAUUAGCUAGUUGGUGGGGUAACGGCCUACCAAGGCGACGAUACGUAGCCGACCUGAGAGGGUGAUCGGCCACACUGGAACUGAGACACGGUCCAGACUCCUACGGGAGGCAGCAGUAGGGAAUCUUCCGCAAUGGGCGAAAGCCUGACGGAGCAACGCCGCGUGAGUGAUGAAGGUCUUCGGAUCGUAAAGCUCUGUUGUUAGGGAAGAACAAAUGUGUAAGUAACUGUGCACAUCUUGACGGUACCUAACCAGAAAGCCACGGCUAACUACGUGCCAGCAGCCGCGGUAAUACGUAGGUGGCAAGCGUUAUCCGGAAUUAUUGGGCGUAAAGCGCGCGUAGGCGGUUUUUUAAGUCUGAUGUGAAAGCCCACGGCUCAACCGUGGAGGGUCAUUGGAAACUGGAAAACUUGAGUGCAGAAGAGGAAAGUGGAAUUCCAUGUGUAGCGGUGAAAUGCGCAGAGAUAUGGAGGAACACCAGUGGCGAAGGCGGCUUUCUGGUCUGCAACUGACGCUGAUGUGCGAAAGCGUGGGGAUCAAACAGGAUUAGAUACCCUGGUAGUCCACGCCGUAAACGAUGAGUGCUAAGUGUUAGGGGGUUUCCGCCCCUUAGUGCUGCAGCUAACGCAUUAAGCACUCCGCCUGGGGAGUACGGUCGCAAGACUGAAACUCAAAGGAAUUGACGGGGACCCGCAC
RNAcentral lists this ribosomal RNA (705 nucleotides) under Staphylococcus pseudintermedius. Its description in RNAcentral is "bacterial SSU rRNA". It matches the Rfam family "Bacterial small subunit ribosomal RNA", at positions 230 to 926 of the family's 1533-position model. The record is from RNAcentral. Lineage: Bacteria; Bacillati; Bacillota; Bacilli; Caryophanales; Staphylococcaceae.